RNAcentral lists this ribosomal RNA (301 nucleotides) under uncultured bacterium. RNAcentral's name for it is "partial 16S ribosomal RNA". It matches the Rfam family "Bacterial small subunit ribosomal RNA", at positions 509 to 809 of the family's 1533-position model. The record is from RNAcentral.
CAGUCGCCGCGGUAAUACAGAGGGUGCGAGCGUUAAUCGGAUUUACUGGGCGUAAAGCGUGCGUAGGCGGCUUCUUAAGUCGGAUGUGAAAUCCCUGAGCUCAACUUAGGAAUUGCAUUCGAUACUGGGAAGCUAGAGUAUGGGAGAGGAUGGUAGAAUUCCAGGUGUAGCGGUGAAAUGCGUAGAGAUCUGGAGGAAUACCGAUGGCGAAGGCAGCCAUCUGGCCUAAUACUGACGCUGAGGUACGAAAGCAUGGGGAGCAAACAGGAUUAGAUACCCCUGUAGCCCUGUCUCUUAUACA